AGGCCGUGAUGUGGACAAAGCCUCAUUGUAUCCUUGUAUCUCUCCCAUGCUUCGAAAAGAUAUUCGUUGUCUUUUUGUUUAAACCCGUUUAUUCUGGCUCUUAGCAU
Lathyrus oleraceus (garden pea) is the source of this 107-nucleotide small nucleolar RNA. The record is from RefSeq and is a predicted model, not a curated record. NCBI's taxonomy places the organism in Eukaryota, Viridiplantae, Streptophyta, Magnoliopsida, Fabales, Fabaceae.